UCUGUGGUGUCACAGCUCUCCUGCUGCACUGUGGUGUGGGGAGGUGCUGGUAGUUCUGCUGCAGAUGCUGGAGAGAUGGUUGCAUCCCUUUUAAAGACCCACUGGAAGCAGAUGAUGACUACAGGCUAACAGGAAGCUUUUCAAAGGCAGGUGCUUGCUGCCCAGGGCAUGAAGCAGGCUAAUUUUCACUGAAGGCUUCACUGAUGCUCACAGUGAACAAAAGUUCAGUUAGGAGGAGGCUUUCCUUCAUAUGUAAGAAAUUGGUUGCUUUUAAAAUUGAA
Long non-coding RNA from Cyanistes caeruleus (blue tit), 281 nucleotides. RefSeq lists it as uncharacterized. The record is from RefSeq and is a predicted model, not a curated record. NCBI's taxonomy places the organism in Eukaryota, Metazoa, Chordata, Aves, Passeriformes, Paridae.